UACGUAGGGUGCGAGCGUUGUCCGGAAUUAUUGGGCGUAAAGAGCUUGUAGGCGGUUUGUCGCGUCUGCUGUGAAAUUUCGGGGCUCAACCCCGAACUUGCAGUGGGUACGGGCAGACUAGAGUGUGGUAGGGGAGACUGGAAUUCCUGGUGUAGCGGUGAAAUGCGCAGAUAUCAGGAGGAACACCGAUGGCGAAGGCAGGCUCGUGG
Molecule: ribosomal RNA, 209 nt
Filed under: uncultured bacterium
Lineage: Bacteria
Description: partial 16S ribosomal RNA
Rfam family: Bacterial small subunit ribosomal RNA
Source: RNAcentral